RNAcentral lists this ribosomal RNA (426 nucleotides) under Acidobacteriota bacterium. RNAcentral's name for it is "Acidobacteria bacterium partial 16S ribosomal RNA". It matches the Rfam family "Bacterial small subunit ribosomal RNA", at positions 355 to 776 of the family's 1533-position model. Lineage: Bacteria; Pseudomonadati; Acidobacteriota. The record is from RNAcentral.
UGGGGAAUUUUGGACAAUGGGGGAAACCCUGAUCCAGCCAUCCCGUGUGUGCGAAGGCCUUCGGGUUGUAAAGCACUUUUGGUAGGAAAGAAACGUCAUGGGUUAAUACCCCGUGAAACUGACGGUACCUGCAGAAUAAGCACCGGCUAACUACGUGCCAGCAGCCGCGGUAAUACGUAGGGUGCAAGCGUUAAUCGGAAUUACUGGGCGUAAAGCGUGCGCAGGCGGUUCGGAAAGAAAGAUGUGAAAUCCCAGAGCUCAACUUUGGAACUGCAUUUUUAACUACCGGGCUAGAGUGUGUCAGAGGGAGGUGGAAUUCCGCGUGUAGCAGUGAAAUGCGUAGAUAUGCGGAGGAACACCGAUGGCGAAGGCAGCCUCCUGGGAUAACACUGACGCUCAUGCACGAAAGCGUGGGGAGCAAACAGG